UCCAAUUGAUAUUUUAUAGUGUGUUUUUCUAUGUUGUGAUGUUAAACUAUUGUUUCAGAAAAGGGAGAAGGUUAGGUACCAUUAAAACGUUUAAUCCCGCUGCAAAUGUUUACACCUGUCCUAAGUCAGGAAUCUGAUGUACAGAAGUUGUCGUCUGUUUAUUGAGUUCAUACGUGUUUUUCGUUUCUCGUUUUUUAUAUAGAUUUAUUUAGACCGUUGGUUUUCCAGUUUGAAUGGUUUUACAUAAAUAUUUUUUGGGGCCCUUUAUAGCUUGCUGUUCGAUGUGAGCCAAGGCUCCGUCUUGAAGGCAGUUCCUUGAUCUAUAAUGGUUAACUUUUAUAAAUUGUUAUUUGGAUGGAGAGUUGUCUCAUUGACACUCAUGCCACAUCUUCCUAUAUCUAUAGACAUAGAAAACCCAAUUUUUUCAAGAACCACACAAUUGACCUAAUGCUAUUUAAAAUGCCAUGAUGUAAUGAUGAGUCUUAAAAUUUGUCAUCUUUAUAUUUAAUUUUCUUAUUCUUUGAAUAUCGCCUAGGUUGGGAGGUGAGAGUAAUGGGGGUCUGGAAGGGGUUUACGGAAAAGAGAACAAUGGAUGAAAAGUGAACAAUAAAUGGCAAAUAGUAUAAGAUUAGAGGAAAAUAGGACAAAAGAAAUAACAAAUAGAGAGUUAAGGAGUACUGAUAAAUAAUAGAAUAAAGGUAAAAAUAAAUAAAGAAUAUAGAAUAAGGAAUAUAAAAGUAAUUAAUGCACAUAAUAGAAUAAGGGUAGAUAAACAAUAGAGAAAAAAUGAAAUGUUAAACAUUAAAGAAAUAAAGGACCCAUGUGCAAUCUCAACUCUCAGCUGUAAUUGGACAAAAGUACUGCAAUAUUACUGCCCAUAUUAUACAGACCUUCUAAAAUUCAAACUGACCACACGCACGAUACACGCACGGUGAAUGCACGAUACACGCACGGUACACGCACGAUACACGAUACACACACGGUACACGCACGAUACACGAUACACGCACGAUGAGCGAUGAGCGUUACACGGAGGAUUAACGCAAAAUGAAUGAUGAAUGAUGAACGCACGAUACACGAUGAAUGAUAAAUACACGAUACACGGACGCACGAUACACGCACGUUGAAUGAUUCAUUGACGACUGAACAACGAACGCUUUUUACACGAUUCUCAAAGCUAUUUUAUUUAGAAUAGUAUUAUACAUGUAAUUGUAACAAAGCUUCUUGAUAAAAUAAUAAAAAAAAAACAAAAACAAAAAAACAAAAAACAAAAACGGAUAAAGGAAACAGAAAUCGAAACCAACACAACCAUAACAAAACCAAUGGCAAUUUUUUCGAUGACACUUUUUUACGACAAAUGUCGUUAUCAAUAUUUACUUGUCAAUGUUACUGGUUAAUUUUGAUAUAUAUAUAUAGAUUUUUGUUUUAAAUGUGUUCCGGAAAUUACUUGUUAAAUGCAUUUGUGUUCAAGUACUUGAUGCAUUAAAGUUAAACUUAUGUUCUUUGAAAAUCUUACAAGUUGCCUUUUCCUGGAAAUAAAGCAAACCAGAAGUCCAUGUAAUACUAAAAACACAUCAAACAAACUUGUAGCAGUACUUUAAAAUAUUAAGCUAUCACGACAUCAGAAAAAUUGGUCUAAGUGACCUUUGACAUUAUUACAAUGACACAGCUUCAAGAUUGUCUAAUUUGCUGGUAAAUAAAACACUAACACUUUUUGUAAUGACAGACGCAUAGUUCGUAAAUAAAAAAAAAUCAUUAGUGAUUGCUGAAUCCUAAACAUGUUUAUAGCUUUGAGAACUAAAAUUUCAGUUUUUUUUUCAAAAUAGAGCUUAUAUAAUAUUUGUCUUGGGUACAAAAAUUAUAAUAAUAGUUUUGGAACAAUUCAGUUUAGUAAACGGUAACUGUAAUUGAUAGACAUUACCAAAUCAACGAAAUUUCUAGUCGACACAAAAGUACUGACGACUAUAGAAAACCUCCACCAGCAAUGCUACAUUUGUUUCUUUGUUUUACAGAAGAAUGAAUGAACAGUGAUAUUUCAAUAACGUCGUGAUCUAAUUCAACAUGGCAUCGGAACAGCCUCUUCUACAGAAAAGUUCUACUGUGAAAAGUGAAAGUUUUACAAUUGACGACACGCUUUCAGCUGACCGAAAAUCUCUGAUAAAAAAAUCAUGUAUGAAUUCGGACUCGUUCUCGCAAUUUUACACUCCUCCUGUGUUAAAAAGUUCAUGGUGGAGAAAUAAAACAAAAACUUUUGUCUUGACAGCCUUGAAAAUAUUAAUUCCUGUUGCGUAUCUGUGUUAUAUAAUUUAUGCGGUGUGGUAUAACUCUGCGCGAGCUGGUUUGCUUGCAUGGGAUAUUUGUGUUUUAAUUGUAUGGAUUUUCCUAUUCACGCAAACACCAAGACGUUUAGCGAAUCGAGGAAAAACAGCACUCAUCGUCAAUUUCCGGUUAUUGAUGUCAAAGGCAAUCUAUGUUAGAGCGUGAGUAUUUUUCUUAUCACUUUGGAAAUAAGAAUAGUAAUAUAACUAUAUGGUACAUUCAUUUUGUGAAGACUGAAGGAUUCAG
This 2565-nucleotide long non-coding RNA is filed under the name Mytilus galloprovincialis (Mediterranean mussel). The record is from RNAcentral. Lineage: Eukaryota; Metazoa; Mollusca; Bivalvia; Mytilida; Mytilidae.